RNAcentral lists this ribosomal RNA (329 nucleotides) under uncultured eukaryote. Its description in RNAcentral is "partial 18S ribosomal RNA". It matches the Rfam family "Eukaryotic small subunit ribosomal RNA", at positions 1470 to 1796 of the family's 1831-position model. The record is from RNAcentral.
CUCUUCGAUGUUCUGGGCUGCACGCGCGCUACAGUGGCAAAGACAGAGAGCAUGAAUUAAUUAUAGAGUCGCAUCGAGGGAUGUGACGAAUCAGCAAUCGUUGCCGUGAUUGGGAUUGAGCGUUGUAAUAUUUGCUCAUGAAAGAGGAAUUCCUCGUAAGCGCGAGUCACUAACUCGUGUUAAUUACGUCUCUGCCCUUUGUACACACCGCCCGUCGCUACUACCGAUUGAACUGGUUUUUGAAGUGUAGAGAUUGGCAGGCAUGGUUUACGUGCAUUGCAAAGAACCACUCUGAAAAAAUCGUUCGAGAAGAAGUAAAAGUCGUAACA